Molecule: ribosomal RNA, 253 nt
Filed under: uncultured bacterium
Lineage: Bacteria
Description: partial 16S ribosomal RNA
Rfam family: Bacterial small subunit ribosomal RNA
Source: RNAcentral
UACGUAGGGUGCGAGCGUUGUCCGGAAUUAUUGGGCGUAAAGAGCUCGUAGGCGGCCUGUCGCGUCGGAUGUGAAAGCCCGGGGCUUAACCCCGGGUCUGCAUUCGAUACGGGCAGGCUAGAGUGUGGUAGGGGAGAUCGGAAUUCCUGGUGUAGCGGUGAAAUGCGCAGAUAUCAGGAAGAACACCCGUGGCGAAGGCGGCUCUCUGGAACGCAACUGACGCUGAGACGCGAAAGCGUGGGGAGCAAACAGG